This 544-nucleotide ribosomal RNA is filed under the name uncultured bacterium. RNAcentral describes it as "bacterial SSU rRNA". It matches the Rfam family "Bacterial small subunit ribosomal RNA", at positions 777 to 1319 of the family's 1533-position model. The record is from RNAcentral.
AAUAGAUACCCAGGUAGUCCACGCCGUAAACGAUGAGUGCUAAGUGUUAGGGGGUUUCCGCCCCUUAGUGCUGCAGCUAACGCAUUAAGCACUCCGCCUGGGGAGUACGGUCGCAAGACUGAAACUCAAAGGAAUUGACGAGGGCCCGCACAAGCGGUGGAGCAUGUGGUUUAAUUCGAAGCAACGCGAAGAACCUUACCAGGUCUUGACAUCCCAUUGACCACUAUGGAGACAUAGUUUUCCCUUCGGGGACAACGGUGACAGGUGGUGCAUGGUUGUCGUCAGCUCGUGUCGUGAGAUGUUGGGUUAAGUCCCGCAACGAGCGCAACCCUUGUUCUUAGUUGCCAUCAUUUAGUUGGGCACUCUAAGGAGACUGCCGGUGACAAACCGGAGGAAGGUGGGGAUGACGUCAAAUCAUCAUGCCCCUUGUGACCUGGGCUACACACGUGCUACAAUGGACGGUACAAACGGUUGCCAACCCGCGAGGGGGAGCUAAUCCGAUAAAACCGUUCUCAGUUCGGAUUGUAGGCUGCAACUCGCCUAC